AGCAGCCGCGGUAAUUCCAGCUCCAAUAGCGUAUAUUAAAGUUGCUGCAGUUAAAAAGCUCGUAGUUGAAUUUCGGGACCGAUAUAUCGGUCGUGCCUCGGUACGUACUGGUAUUUUCGGUUUCUACCUUCUGACGAACCUUGAUGUCAUUAAUUUGGUGUCUUGGGGAAUCAGGACUGUUACUUUGAAAAAAUUAGAGUGUCUAAAGCAGGCUCACGCUUGAAUACAUUAGCAUGGAAUAAUGAAAUAGGACGUUUGAUUCUAUUUUGUUGGUUUCUAGGAUCGACGUAAUGAUUAAUAGGGAUAGUUGGGGGCAUUAGUAUUCAAUUGUCAGAGGUGAAAUUCUUGGAUUUAUUGAAGACUAACUACUGCGAAAGCAUUUGCCAAGGAUGUUUUCAUUAAUCAAGAACGAAAGUUAGGGGAUCGAAGACGAUCAGAUACCGUCGUAGU
Molecule: ribosomal RNA, 450 nt
Filed under: uncultured Glomeromycotina
Lineage: Eukaryota; Fungi; Glomeromycota
Description: SSU rRNA
Rfam family: Eukaryotic small subunit ribosomal RNA
Source: RNAcentral